GGGCGUUAAGUUGCAGGGUAUAGACCCGAAACCCGGUGAUCUAGCCAUGGGCAGGUUGAAGGUUGGGUAACACUAACUGGAGGACCGAACCGACUAAUGUUGAAAAAUUAGCGGAUGACCUGUGGCUGGGGGUGAAAGGCCAAUCAAACCGGGAGAUAGCUGGUUCUCCCCGAAAGCUAUUUAGGUAGCGCCUCGUGAAUUCAUCUCCGGGGGUAGAGCACUGUUUCGGCUAGGGGGCCAUCCCGGCUUACCAACCCGAUGCAAACUGCGAAUACCGGAGAAUGUUAUCACGGGAGACACACGGCGGGUGCUAACGUCCGUCGUGAAGAGGGAAACAACCCAGACCGCCAGCUAAGGUCCCAAAGUCAUGGUUAAGUGGGAAACGAUGUGGGAAGGCCCAGACAGCCAGGAUGUUGGCUUAGAAGCAGCCAUCAUUUAAAGAAAGCGUAAUAGCUCACUGGUCGAGUCGGCCUGCGCGGAAGAUGUAACGGGGCUAAACCAUGCACCGAAGCUGCGGCAGCGACACUAUGUGUUGUUGGGUAGGGGAGCGUUCUGUAAGCCUGUGAAGGUGUGCUGUGAGGCAUGCUGGAGGUAUCAGAAGUGCGAAUGCUGACAUAAGUAACGAUAAAGCGGGUGAAAAGCCCGCUCGCCGGAAGACCAAGGGUUCCUGUCCAACGUUAAUCGGGGCAGGGUGAGUCGACCCCUAAGGCGAGGCCGAAAGGCGUAGUCGAUGGGAAACGGGUUAAUAUUCCCGUACUUGGUGUUACUGCGAAGGGGGGACGGAGAAGGCUAUGUUGGCCGGGCGACGGUUGUCCCGGUUUAAGCGUGUAGGUGUGUGUUCCAGGUAAAUCCGGUUCACUUUAACACUGAGGCGUGAUGACGAGGCACUACGGUGCUGAAGCAACAAAUGCCCUGCUUCCAGGAAAAGCCUCUAAGCAUCAGGUAACAUCAAAUCGUACCCCAAACCGACACAGGUGGUCAGGUAGAGAAUACCAAGGCGCUUGAGAGAACUCGGGUGAAGGAACUAGGCAAAAUGGUGCCGUAACUUCGGGAGAAGGCACGCUGACA
RNAcentral lists this ribosomal RNA (1068 nucleotides) under Salmonella enterica subsp. enterica. RNAcentral describes it as "bacterial LSU rRNA". It matches the Rfam family "Bacterial large subunit ribosomal RNA", at positions 690 to 1756 of the family's 2925-position model. RNAcentral also lists the same sequence under 1 other name. Lineage: Bacteria; Pseudomonadati; Pseudomonadota; Gammaproteobacteria; Enterobacterales; Enterobacteriaceae. The record is from RNAcentral.